GAUGUCGGCUCGUCACAUCCUGGGGCUGGAGAAGGUCCCAAGGGUUCGGCUGUUCGCCGAUUAAAGUGGCACGCGAGCUGGGUUCAGAACGUCGCGAGACAGUUCGGUCCCUAUCUGUUAUGGGCGCGAGAAAUUUGACGGGUGCUGACUCUAGUACGAGAGGACCGAGUCGGACGUACCGCUAGUGUACCUGUUGUGUCGCCAGAUGCACCGCAGGGUAGCUAUGUACGGAUAAGAUAAGUGCUGAAAGCAUCUAAGUACGAAACUUACCUGAAGAUGAGAUUUCUACAAAAGGGUCGUUGAAGACUACGACGUAGAUAGGUCGCAGAUGUAAAGUCAGUGAUGGCAAAGUCGAGCGAUACUAAUAACCCAAAAGUUUAUACGCA
This 386-nucleotide ribosomal RNA is filed under the name Bacteroidales bacterium. Its description in RNAcentral is "partial 23S ribosomal RNA". It matches the Rfam family "Bacterial large subunit ribosomal RNA", at positions 2528 to 2925 of the family's 2925-position model. The record is from RNAcentral. Lineage: Bacteria; Pseudomonadati; Bacteroidota; Bacteroidia; Bacteroidales.